UCCUUGGUAGUUCAAUGGUAGAACGCGGCACUGUUAAUGCCGAUGUUGCAGGUUCGAAUCCUGCCCAAGGAG
Molecule: transfer RNA, 72 nt
Filed under: Candidatus Magasanikiibacteriota bacterium
Lineage: Bacteria; Candidatus Magasanikiibacteriota
Description: Candidatus Magasanikbacteria bacterium tRNA-Asn
Rfam family: tRNA
About the family: Transfer RNA (tRNA) molecules are approximately 80 nucleotides in length. Their secondary structure includes four short double-helical elements and three loops (D, anti-codon, and T loops).
Source: RNAcentral